GACAGAGGAGCCAAGCGUUGUCCGGAAUUAUUGGGCGUAAAGAGCUCGUAGGCGGUUUGUCGCGUCUGCUGUGAAAACCCGAGGCUCAACCUCGGGCCUGCAGUGGGUACGGGCAAACUAGAGUGCGGUAGGGGAGAAUGGAAUUCCUGGUGUAGCGGUGGAAUGCGCAGAUAUCAGGAGGAACACCGAUGGCGAAGGCAGUUCUCUGGGCCGUAACUGACGCUGAGGAGCGAAAGCGUGGGGAGCGAGCAGG
RNAcentral lists this ribosomal RNA (253 nucleotides) under uncultured bacterium. Its description in RNAcentral is "partial 16S ribosomal RNA". It matches the Rfam family "Bacterial small subunit ribosomal RNA", at positions 524 to 776 of the family's 1533-position model. The record is from RNAcentral.